This 198-nucleotide ribosomal RNA is filed under the name uncultured bacterium. Its description in RNAcentral is "partial 16S ribosomal RNA". It matches the Rfam family "Bacterial small subunit ribosomal RNA", at positions 328 to 539 of the family's 1533-position model. The record is from RNAcentral.
ACGCUCGACACCUACGGGAGGCAGCAGUUGGGAAUAUUGGACAAUGGAGGAAACUCUGAUCCAGUGACGCCGCGUGAAGGAAGAAGGUCUUCGGAUUGUAAACUUAUUUUGUCAGGGAAGAAAAAUGACUGUGCCUGAAGAAAAAGCACCGGCUAACUACGUGCCGCAGCCGCGGUAAUCUGAGCGGGCUGGCAAGGC